AGCAGCCGCGGUAAUUCCAGCUCCAAUAGCGUAUAUUAAAGUUGUUGCAGUUAAAAAGCUCGUAGUUGAAUUUCGGGAUCAAUAUGUUGGUCGUGCCUUGGUACGUACUAGUUUAUUGGUUUCUUCCUUCUGACGAACCGUGAUGUCAUUAAUUUGGUGUCUUGGGGAAUCAGGACUGUUACUUUGAAAAAAUUAGAGUGUUUAAAGCAGGCUCACGCUUGAAUACAUUAGCAUGGAAUAAUGAAAUAGGACGUUUGAUUCUAUUUUGUUGGUUUCCAGGAUCGACGUAAUGAUUAAUAGGGAUAGUUGGGGGCAUUAGUAUUCAAUUGUCAGAGGUGAAAUUCUUGGAUUUAUUGAAGACUAACUACUGCGAAAGCAUUUGCCAAGGAUGUUUUCAUUAAUCAAGAACGAAAGUUAGGGGAUCGAAGACGAUCAGAUACCGUCGUAGUCUUAACCAUAAACUAUGCCGACUAGGGAUCGGAUGAUGUUAAUUUUUUAAUGACUCAUUCGGCGCCUUACG
RNAcentral lists this ribosomal RNA (520 nucleotides) under uncultured Glomeraceae. Its description in RNAcentral is "SSU rRNA". It matches the Rfam family "Eukaryotic small subunit ribosomal RNA", at positions 569 to 1092 of the family's 1831-position model. The record is from RNAcentral. Lineage: Eukaryota; Fungi; Glomeromycota; Glomeromycetes; Glomerales; Glomeraceae.